RNAcentral lists this ribosomal RNA (2895 nucleotides) under Xanthomonas axonopodis. RNAcentral describes it as "bacterial LSU rRNA". It matches the Rfam family "Bacterial large subunit ribosomal RNA". Lineage: Bacteria; Pseudomonadati; Pseudomonadota; Gammaproteobacteria; Lysobacterales; Lysobacteraceae. The record is from RNAcentral.
GUUAUAUGGUCAAGCGAAUAAGCGCACACGGUGAAUGCCUAGGCGGUCAGAGGCGAUGAAGGACGUGGUAGCCUGCGAAAAGUGUCGGGGAGCUGGCAACAAGCUUUGAUCCGGCAAUAUCCGAAUGGGGAAACCCACUGCUUCGGCAGUAUCCUGCAGUGAAUUCAUAGCUGCUGGAAGCGAACCCGGUGAACUGAAAUAUCUAAGUAACCGGAGGAAAAGAAAUCAACCGAGAUUCCCUAAGUAGUGACGAGCGAACGGGGAGCAGCCCUUAAGCUGGAAUGGCUUUAGAAAAACAAUCUGGAAAGAUUGGCCAUAGAAGGUGAUAGCCCUGUAUUUAAAAGGGCCACUCCAGUGAAGACGAGUAGGGCGGGGCACGUGAAACCCUGUCUGAAUAUGGGGGGACCAUCCUCCAAGGCUAAAUACUCCUGACCGACCGAUAGUGAACCAGUACCGUGAGGGAAAGGCGAAAAGAACCCCGGAGAGGGGAGUGAAAUAGAUCCUGAAACCGUGUGCGUACAAGCAGUAGGAGCUCGCAAGAGUGACUGCGUACCUUUUGUAUAAUGGGUCAGCGACUUACUGUUCGUGGCAAGCUUAACCGUAUAGGGGAGGCGAAGGGAAACCGAGUCUGAUAAGGGCGCAUAGUCGCGGGCAGUAGACCCGAAACCGGGUGAUCUAGUCAUGGCCAGGGUGAAGGUGCCGUAACAGGUACUGAAGGCCCGAACCCACGUCUGUUGCAAAAGACGGGGAUGAGCUGUGAUUAGGAGUGAAAAGCUAAUCGAACCCGGAGAUAGCUGGUUCUCCUCGAAAGCUAUUUAGGUAGCGCCUCGGACGAAUACUACUGGGGGUAGAGCACUGUUAUGGCUAGGGGGUCAUCGCGACUUACCAAACCAUUGCAAACUCCGAAUACCAGUACGUACUAUCCGGGAGACACACGGCGGGUGCUAACGUCCGUCGUGAAAAGGGAAACAACCCAGACCCACAGCUAAGGUCCCCAAUUCACUGCUAAGUGGAAAACGAUGUGGAAAGGCAUAGACAGCCAGGAGGUUGGCUUAGAAGCAGCCACCCUUUAAAGAAAGCGUAAUAGCUCACUGGUCGAGUCGGUCUGCGCGGAAGAUUUAACGGGGCUAAGCAGUGAACCGAAGCUUGGGGUGCAUAAAACUUGUUUUAUGCGCGGUAGAGGAGCGUUCCGUAAGCCUGCGAAGGUGGAUUGAGAAGUCUGCUGGAGGUAUCGGAAGUGCGAAUGCUGACAUGAGUAACGAUAAUGCGGGUGAAAAGCCCGCACGCCGAAAGCCUAAGGUUUCCUUGCGCAACGUUAAUCGACGCAGGGUUAGUCGGUCCCUAAGGCGAGGGCGAAAGCCGUAGUCGAUGGGAAGCAGGUUAAUAUUCCUGCACCUCGCGUGAGUGCGAUGGAGGGACGGAGAAGGUUAGGUGUACCGGGCGUUGGUUGUCCCGGGGAAAGGCGGUAGGUUUGGAUCUUUGGCAAAUCCGGGAUCCUUUAAGACCGAGCACCGAGACGAGCCUUCUUGGCGAAGUCACUGAUACCACGCUUCCAGGAAAAGCUCCUAAGCUUCAGCUCACGAAGACCGUACCGUAAACCGACACAGGUGGGUAGGAUGAGAAUUCUCAGGCGCUUGAGAGAACUCGGGUGAAGGAACUAGGCAACAUGGCACCGUAACUUCGGGAGAAGGUGCACCCUUUUUGGUGGCUCAUGCGAGCUAUAGCUGAAGAGGGUCGCAGAAACCAGGCCGCUGCGACUGUUUAUCAAAAACACAGCACUCUGCAAACACGAAAGUGGACGUAUAGGGUGUGACGCCUGCCCGGUGCUGGAAGGUUAAUUGAUGGGGUCAGCCGCAAGGCGAAGCUCUUGAUCGAAGCCCCAGUAAACGGCGGCCGUAACUAUAACGGUCCUAAGGUAGCGAAAUUCCUUGUCGGGUAAGUUCCGACCUGCACGAAUGGCGUAACGACAGCGGCGCUGUCUCCACCCGAGACUCAGUGAAAUUGAAAUCGCUGUGAAGAUGCAGCGUUCCCGUGGCAAGACGGAAAGACCCCGUGAACCUUUACUAUAGCUUUACACUGAACGUUGAGUUCGUCUGUGUAGGAUAGGUGGGAGGCUAUGAAACUGUGGCGCUAGCUGCAGUGGAGCCAUCCUUGAAAUACCACCCUGUCGUGCUUGACGUUCUAACCUAGGUCCGUGAUCCGGAUCAGGGACCGUGUAUGGUGGGUAGUUUGACUGGGGCGGUCUCCUCCUAAAGAGUAACGGAGGAGCACGAAGGUACGCUCAGCGCGGUCGGACAUCGCGCACUGUGUGCAAAGGCAUAAGCGUGCUUGACUGCAAGAUCGACGGAUCAAGCAGGUACGAAAGUAGGUCUUAGUGAUCCGGUGGUUCUGUAUGGAAGGGCCAUCGCUCAACGGAUAAAAGGUACUCCGGGGAUAACAGGCUGAUACCGCCCAAGAGUUCAUAUCGACGGCGGUGUUUGGCACCUCGAUGUCGGCUCAUCACAUCCUGGGGCUGUAGUCGGUCCCAAGGGUAUGGCUGUUCGCCAUUUAAAGUGGUACGCGAGCUGGGUUCAGAACGUCGUGAGACAGUUCGGUCCCUAUCUGCCAUGGGCGUUGGAAGUUUGAGAGGGGCUGCUCCUAGUACGAGAGGACCGGAGUGGACGAACCUCUGGUGUUCCGGUUGUCACGCCAGUGGCAUUGCCGGGUAGCUAUGUUCGGAAGCGAUAACCGCUGAAAGCAUCUAAGCGGGAAGCGCGCCUCAAGAUGAGACUUCCCGGGGCACAAGCCCCCUAAAGGAACCAUGUAGACUACGUGGUUGAUAGGUCAGGUGUGUAAGUACAGCAAUGUAUUGAGCUAACUGAUACUAAUGAUCCGUGCGGCUUGACCAUAUAACCU